UUAAGCAUAUCACUAAGCGGAGGAAAAGAAACUAACCAGGAUUCCCUUAGUAACGGCGAGUGAACAGGGAUUAGCCCAGCACCGAAGCCUGCGGUUGUUUAACUGCUAGGCAAUGUGGUGUUUAAAUUGGUUUUUGGCAUUUCUGCUCCAUCCUAAGUCCAUUAAUGAGUACGGCUAAUGGACCGGCCCAAAGAGGGUGAAAGGCCCGUGUGGAUGGAGAUCAAGUGGGACAGAAGUGCUUUAAACUGAUUUUGGAGUCGGGUUGUUUGUGAAUGCAGCCCAAAGUGGGUGGUAGACUCCAUCCAAGGCUAAAUACUAACACGAAUCCGAUAGCAAACAAGUACCGUGAGGGAAAGUUGAAAAGUACUUUGAAGAGAGAGUAAACAGUGCGUGAAACCGCUCAAAGGUAAACGGGUGGAGUUGAACUGGAACCCCCGAGAAUUUAACUGACGAGUAUGGUAUGCGCUUGGGCAUGUUGGCCAGCAAUGAGGGUUUGCUUAAUUGCAAGCCUUAACUCUUCGGAGUUUGGGUACACGUUGCACUUGUCAGGUGUUGUGUGCUCUAAUUGCAUUGGGCUUGCUUGUCAGUGCAUUUUCUCGGGGUAAUCACCACGACCGGCGUACUUGUCCGUUUGCUGCAGUUAAACCGAUUAAAUUUGGUCAUGUUGGCUGGGUUUGGUCGGGAUGGCCGGUAGCUUGUUUGCUCAUUCGAGUUUGCAAGCGCUAUUAGCUAACUGUAGUAAAUUUGUGCAAUAUGUCGGAGAUAACGGCUUUGCUCACGCUGUUUAGCAAAUAACGUUGGGUUUGACUGGCACGUACUUGUUUUGGCAAGUCUGUCAGUAGCCUAAUGGGGUUUGUUGGCAGUAGUGUGUAACGUGCUUUGAGCCUAUAGUCUGUGGUGUAGUGGUAGACUAUCCACCCGACCCGUCUUGAAACACGGACCAAGGAGUUUAACAUGUUUGCGAGUCAUUGGGCGUUACGAAACCCAAAGGCGCAGUGAAGGUAAAGGUUUGACUUGUUCAAACUGAGGUGAGAUCCCAUUGCAUUCAUUAACUAUUAUCAAGCAUGUUGCAAUGGGCGCAUUACCGGCCCGUCUCAUGGUGUAGUCAUAAGGCUUUGCCUUGUGCGUCACCGGGGCGGAGCUAGAGCGUACAUGUUGAGACCCGAAAGAU
RNAcentral lists this ribosomal RNA (1171 nucleotides) under Allocardicola johnpagei. RNAcentral's name for it is "partial large subunit ribosomal RNA". It matches the Rfam family "Eukaryotic large subunit ribosomal RNA", at positions 34 to 824 of the family's 3401-position model. Lineage: Eukaryota; Metazoa; Platyhelminthes; Trematoda; Strigeidida; Aporocotylidae. The record is from RNAcentral.